RNAcentral lists this long non-coding RNA (411 nucleotides) under Capsicum annuum. RNAcentral describes it as "long non-coding RNA (CANN_LNC001222)". Lineage: Eukaryota; Viridiplantae; Streptophyta; Magnoliopsida; Solanales; Solanaceae. The record is from RNAcentral.
AAAUUUUUAUCUGGCAGCUAACAAUCGUCCUUUGUCUAUUGUGCAGACCUUUUGGACUAAAAAAGCCAGAAUUCCUAGGAAUUUACAGGUUAAUCCAUCGUUGAUACUAAGAAAUUAAGAGGCUAACCAUAUACUAAGGGUAAGAAGGUUAUAGACAGUUUAAUUUACAUGGUUAUGCAAAAAAAACUAUUUAAAACAUAUAUAAGAACAUGAAUAUAAAUAUUUUUGUGGGGAAAAUAUGGAAAUAAGAACUUACAUGAAGUAACUAGGAGAGAGGUUUCCCUUUCGGGAACCCCCUAAAGAUCGAAUAGAAAACUUGAAGCUUUUAUUUAAACCACGAUGUUACAAAGUUUAUACAAGAACGACUGGGUUAGACAAGUUUUUUGGGAGGAAAGGUUUAAACAUUUCAGG